Molecule: ribosomal RNA, 574 nt
Filed under: uncultured Nocardioides sp.
Lineage: Bacteria; Bacillati; Actinomycetota; Actinomycetes; Propionibacteriales; Nocardioidaceae
Description: bacterial SSU rRNA
Rfam family: Bacterial small subunit ribosomal RNA
Source: RNAcentral
GAUUCCUACGGGAGGCAGCAGUGGGGAAUAUUGGACAAUGGGCGAAAGCCUGAUCCAGCAACGCCGCGUGAGGGAUGACGGCCUUCGGGUUGUAAACCUCUUUCAUCCAUGACGAAGCGCAAGUGACGGUAAUGGAAGAAGAAGGACCGGCCAACUACGUGCCAGCAGCCGCGGUAAUACGUAGGGUCCGAGCGUUGUCCGGAAUUAUUGGGCGUAAAGGGCUCGUAGGCGGUUUGUCACGUCGGGAGUGAAAACACGGGGCUUAACCCCGUGCCUGCUUCCGAUACGGGCAGACUAGAGGUAUGCAGGGGAGAACGGAAUUCCUGGUGUAGCGGUGAAAUGCGCAGAUAUCAGGAGGAACACCGGUGGCGAAGGCGGUUCUCUGGGCAUUACCUGACGCUGAGGAGCGAAAGUGUGGGGAGCGAACAGGAUUAGAUACCCUGGUAGUCCACACCGUAAACGUUGGGCGCUAGGUGUGGGACUCAUUCCACGAGUUCCGUGCCGCAGCUAACGCAUUAAGCGCCCCGCCUGGGGAGUACGGCCGCAAGGCUAAAACUCAAAUGAAUUGACGGGG